GCGUUAUCCGGAAUCGUUGGGUUUAAAGGGUCCGUAGGCGGUUUUAUAAGUCAGUGGUGAAAUCCGGCAGCUCAACUGUCGAACUGCCAUUGAUACUGUAGAACUUGAAUUAUUGUGAAGUAACUAGAAUAUGUAGUGUAGCGGUGAAAUGCUUAGAUAUUACAUGGAAUACCAAUUGCGAAGGCAGGUUACUAACAAUACAUUGACGCUGAUGGACGAAAGCGUGGGGAGCGAACAGGAUUAGAUACCCUGGUAGUCCACGCCGUAAACGAUGGAUACUAGCUGUUCGGAAGCAAUUCUGAGUGGCUAAGCGAAAGUGAUAAGUAUCCCACCUGGGGAGUACGAACGCAAGUUUGAAACUCAAAGGAAUUGACG
This 375-nucleotide ribosomal RNA is filed under the name uncultured Bacteroidota bacterium. Its description in RNAcentral is "bacterial SSU rRNA". It matches the Rfam family "Bacterial small subunit ribosomal RNA", at positions 538 to 915 of the family's 1533-position model. Lineage: Bacteria; Pseudomonadati; Bacteroidota. The record is from RNAcentral.